CGGACCGCGUGGAAAGUAUGAAGCAAAGUUUAGUUCAGGCGCUACCCUUUUUGUCUUCCGAUAUGAGUCCUAAUUAUAUGUAUAAUUCAUUCUUUCACACUUUUAUGGAUCAUUAUAAUGCGAUAUUCACCUCAAAAUCGGUCGUAGUUAGUGGUGCAUCAGUUUUUAGUGAGUGGGCUACUGCGGACUUACAUCAACGAAGACGUGAACUGUAUGCCUUGUAUGAGGAACGGCGGUUUAAUCAGAGUGAUGAAUUUAAAGAACAUGUCAAGGAAUAUUCGAAGAAGUUUAAAUAGAUUGUCAUAUAGCUAAGCGAAAUUAUCUAAGUCAGAAAAUAAAAAGUAGUUCCGACAUUAUUAAAGCAACCUGGAAAGUAAUAAAUGUGGAGACUGGUCGCUCGAAACACACAAUUAAAGAACUUAAACUAAAUAUUCAUAACAAAAUUAUAGAUUCCAAUU
Molecule: long non-coding RNA, 458 nt
Organism: Cydia splendana
Lineage: Eukaryota; Metazoa; Arthropoda; Insecta; Lepidoptera; Tortricidae
Exons: 3
Source: RefSeq, a predicted model, not a curated record